Vigna angularis (adzuki bean) is the source of this 1548-nucleotide RNA transcript. It is a transcript of the gene named 1,4-dihydroxy-2-naphthoyl-CoA synthase, peroxisomal, with no coding region annotated. Lineage: Eukaryota; Viridiplantae; Streptophyta; Magnoliopsida; Fabales; Fabaceae. The record is from RefSeq and is a predicted model, not a curated record. The transcript has 9 exons.
CUCAUUCUUAUCGCAAAGUGCCACGACAAGCGCUACAAAUGUUGAAUGCGAUUGAAUAUAAAGCAAACCAUCAUCUUCAGAAUCUGUCUAAGAUAUCGAAUGGCGGAGAACAAGGACCUCGAAACCGCCAUCAGAAGGCUCGCCUCUGUCAAUAAUCACCUCCUUUCCGCCCCCGCAGCGUCCCCUGAACUUACCUUCACGCGCACUUCCACUACCGACAACAGCUUCGGCCGCGUUCACGGCCAAGUCCCCUCUCACGACGUCGUUUGGAGGACCGCUUCCGAUGACUUCACAGACAUUGUGUACGAGAAGGCAGUUGGGGAAGGAAUUGCCAAGAUAAGUAUUAAUAGGCCAGAGAGAAGGAACGCGUUCCGUCCCAAAACGGUGAAGGAGCUCAUGAGUGCUUUCACUGACGCCAGGGAUGAUUCAUCUAUUGGGGUCGUCAUUCUCACUGGCAAGGGAACCAAGGCAUUUUGUAGUGGUGGUGACCAGGCUUUGAGGACUGACGAUGGCUAUUCUGAUGAUGGAAGUUUUAGCAACCUUAAUGUGUUAGACUUGCAGGUGCAGAUACGCCGCCUCCCUAAGCCAGUGAUUGCAAUGGUAGCAGGUUAUGCUGUUGGUGGAGGGCAUAUAUUACAUAUGGUCUGUGAUCUAACUAUUGCAGCAGAUAAUGCUAUCUUUGGCCAAACUGGUCCUAAGGUAGGAAGCUUUGAUGCUGGUUAUGGAAGUUCUAUCAUGUCUCGUUUGGUCCAAAAAAAGCGCGUGAAAUGUGGUUCCUCACAAGGCUCUAUGAUGCUGUUGAAGCAGAGAAAAUGGGCCUUGUCAACACUGUUGUACCUUGAACGCUAUGUUUUGGUUUGGUCUAGCUUGAGAAUUUGGAGAUAGAAACGAUAAAAUGGUGUCGGGAGAUACUGAGUAACAGUCCAACUGCUAUUCGGGUGCUCAAGUCUGCUCUUAAUGCAGUGGAUGAUGGACAUUCUGGACUUCAGGAACUUGGGGGAAAUGCAACACUGAUAUACUAUAGCACGGAGGAAGCUAAAGAGGGGAAGACUGCAUAUUUGCAACGUAGACGCCCUGAUUUUUCUAAGUUCAAACGGCGACCUUAAAUAUUUGUCAAUUGUUUCCAUCAAUUUGAGGCUUCUGAGGAAUGGACCUCUAGUCCUUAAUUUACCCAUUUUAAACGUAUCUGUGAGGUUGAUAAUGAUAAAAUAAACAGAUUUCUCUGAUUUAACUAUUGUGUCCUGUUUCUUAAAAAGAUUAUCAGCUUCAGUAAACAAGACCGCAGAAUAUACAUUUCCGUUGAUUUUCUCAAAACUUGGUCUUCUGAAAUUCAGUUUUGCCCCUGAAGUCAUGGAUUAUUGAAAGCUCAUUAUGCAUGAUGCUUAAGGGAACUUUUACAGGUUUAUGCUUCUGAAGUUUCAGAAUAGUUUUCCACUAGUUGUGUAAUAUUUCUGCGAAUAUUCGGUGUGUACUCAACAUACUUGGAUAUGAUAUGAUACGGUGAAACACACCAUGUAUAUUCGGAGUAAAGAUGAUGUAUUUGUUGCA